RNAcentral lists this ribosomal RNA (503 nucleotides) under uncultured bacterium. Its description in RNAcentral is "bacterial SSU rRNA". It matches the Rfam family "Bacterial small subunit ribosomal RNA", at positions 9 to 526 of the family's 1533-position model. The record is from RNAcentral.
GGAGUUUGAUCCUGGCUCAGGACGAACGCUGGCGGCGUGCCUAACACAUGCAAGUCGAGCGAGGAGAUUCCCUUCGGGGAUGAACCUAGCGGCGGACGGGUGAGUAAUACGUGGGCAACCUGCCUUAUAGAGGGGAAUAGCCUUCCGAAAGGAAGAUUAAUACCGCAUAACAUUACAUUUUCGCAUGAAGAAGUAAUUAAAGGAGUAAUCCGCUAUAAGAUGGGCCCGCGGCGCAUUAGCUAGUUGGUGAGGUAACGGCUCACCAAGGCGACGAUGCGUAGCCGACCUGAGAGGGUGAUCGGCCACAUUGGGACUGAGACACGGCCCAGACUCCUACGGGAGGCAGCAGUGGGGAAUAUUGCACAAUGGGGGAAACCCUGAUGCAGCAACGCCGCGUGAGUGAUGAAGGUCUUCGGAUCGUAAAGCUCUGUCUUCAGGGACGAUAAUGACGGUACCUGAGGAGGAAGCCACGGCUAACUACGUGCCAGCAGCCGCGGUAAUAC